GACGAACGCUGGCGGCGUGCUUAACACAUGCAAGUCGAACGGAAAGGCCCUGCUUUUGUGGGGUGCUCGAGUGGCGAACGGGUGAGUAACACGUGAGUAACCUGCCCUUGACUUUGGGAUAACUUCAGGAAACUGGGGCUAAUACCGGAUAGGAGCUCCUGCUGCAUGGUGGGGGUUGGAAAGUUUCGGCGGUUGGGGAUGGACUCGCGGCUUAUCGGCUUGUUGGUGGGGUAGUGGCUUACCAAGGCUUUGACGGGUAGCCGGCCUGGGAGGGUGACCGGCCACAUUGGGACUGAGAUACGGCCCAGACUCCUACGGGAGGCAGCAGAGGGGAAUAUUGCACAAUGGGCGGAAGCCUGAUGCAGCAACGCCGCGUGCGGGAUGACGGCCAUCGGGUUGUAAACCGCUUUCGCCUGUGACGAAGCGUGAGUGACGGUAAUGGGUAAAGAAGCACCGGCUAACUACGUG
RNAcentral lists this ribosomal RNA (468 nucleotides) under uncultured bacterium. RNAcentral describes it as "partial 16S ribosomal RNA". It matches the Rfam family "Bacterial small subunit ribosomal RNA", at positions 28 to 507 of the family's 1533-position model. The record is from RNAcentral.